This 63-nucleotide transfer RNA is filed under the name Brachidontes exustus (scorched mussel). Its description in RNAcentral is "tRNA-Ser". The record is from RNAcentral. Lineage: Eukaryota; Metazoa; Mollusca; Bivalvia; Mytilida; Mytilidae.
AGUUGGUUUUAAAAGGUUUGAUUUGAAUUCUAACUAUAAGUAUUUUGAUAUACUUGCCAAUUU